CAGCCGCCGCGGGAAUACGUAGGUGGCAAGCGUUGUCCGGAAUUAUUGGGCGUAGAGGGCUCGCAGGCGGUUUCUUAAGUCUGAUGUGAAAGCCCCCGGCUCAACCGGGGAGGGUCAUUGGAAACUGGGAAACUUGAGUGCAGAAGAGGAGAGUGGAAUUCCACGUGUAGCGGUGAAAUGCGUAGAGAUGAGGAGGAACACCAGUGGCGAAGGCGACUCUCUGGUCUGUAACUGACGCUGAGGAGCGAAAGCGUGGGGAGCGAACAGGAUUAGAUACCCCUGUAGUCCCUGUCUCUUAUAC
This 301-nucleotide ribosomal RNA is filed under the name uncultured bacterium. Its description in RNAcentral is "partial 16S ribosomal RNA". It matches the Rfam family "Bacterial small subunit ribosomal RNA", at positions 509 to 807 of the family's 1533-position model. The record is from RNAcentral.